AAGCAGAAAGAUUUAACUUUUUAAUUUUUCGUGUGUUUCACUAUUCGAACAAAUAGAAAGUUAGGGGCGAAAUGUUUUUCACUUCUGCUGAUAUCUAGAUAAUAGUAAAAUAUAUUUAGUAUAUAAAACAAAUAAAAACACUUAAGUGUUUUUAUUUGUAGAGAGUUUUUUCUUUGCUUUGAUUUAUGUUUAUUUUUUUCAAUAAAAAAAUAACUAUAUAAGGUUUCCUUUAUUGUAACUAUUUAACAGUAUUAAUUUUAAUCUUGUUAAAGAAUGUUUAAAUUAGUAGUUUUCUUAAACCUCAAAAAGGAACUCGGCAAAAAUUUUUUUCGACUGUUUACCAAAAACAUAGCCUGUAGAAAUUGUUACAGGUACUUCUGCCCAAUGAAUAUUUUAAUGGCCGCAGUACCCUGACUGUGCUAAGGUAGCAUAAUAAAUUGGCUUUUAAUUGGAGUCUAGAAUGAAAGAAUGAACGGAAACAAGCUGUCUUUUAAUGGUUUUUAGUAAUUUGCUCAGGUGGUGAAAAUUCCACCAGUUUGAAAAAGGACGAGAAGACCCUAAGAAUUUUAAAUGAGAAGAUUAAUAUUUUUUUAUUUUUAGCUGGGGCGGCUAGGGACCAAGUAUUAAACGUCUCUAUGUUUAUCUGUUUUUAACAUUUUUUAUUAAUAUUACCUUAGGGAUAACAGCAUAAUUUUAUUUUAAGCUUGUGACCUCGAUGUUGGACUAGGGUUCUUAAGAUUAAAAGUCUAAAAGUUUUGUUC
Molecule: ribosomal RNA, 761 nt
Filed under: Eleutherocaulis alte
Lineage: Eukaryota; Metazoa; Mollusca; Gastropoda; Systellommatophora; Veronicellidae
Description: partial 16S ribosomal RNA
Rfam family: Archaeal large subunit ribosomal RNA (bases 293-533)
Source: RNAcentral